CCCAGCAGGAGACAGCUAGAACUCUCUAUCUGCCCACCCUGGGUAACCACCCACCGCAGCAAUGCUUGUGGGGGGACAAGGCAGAGAUAUUUUACACCAUGACCUGGAUUGAUCUCCUUGUUCACGCACUUCAGGUGGCUCAUGGGGGAUACACCAUGGGCCUUCCUUUUACCAUCUGGUCAGCCAGCCACAGAAGCAAUAGCAACCAUUUAUUGAGCACUUACCGUGUGCCAAGCAAGAUGCUCAGCUCUGCAUUUAUUAUCACAACAGCCCUGGAAGUUACUAUUUUAAUUCCCAUUUUAGAGUUGAGAAAACGAAAUCUUGGAGACAUUACUAAACUUGUCCAAGUUCAUACAUCUAAUUGUGGUGGAGCUAGGAUGCAAAUCCAGGCUACAAAACUUGGGUUCUUAACCACUGCACUAGACCUGCUUCUUCCAACCAUUCACCCAGUUAUCCGGUUACCCAUCUGCAGAAGAUAGGAUCCACGCUUAAAUUAGGAUAGUUAAAAAUGAGCUUUAUAUGGGAUCGUUUAAAACAAGAUGAGGAGGCAGGUGGUGUGCAAGGAAACCACACAGGAUCCUUCCAGUGCCCUAGAAUCAGAAACAGCAGAACCAGUGUCUCCCAGAACCUGAAGGGCUGAAGUGGAGGAAGGAGGCAGAGAGGGCUGCCCAGCAGGAGCCGAGCCUAUCAUCAAGGGAAGUGGCCAGGCUGAGGCACCACAGAGAGAGAGCACACCCAGGAAUAAGUACCAUGGCUUUCCUCUUCCCUCCUCCCUCCCUGGCUGCCUCUCUCCUAACUCCUGCUUGGCUCCCCUUUGGGUUCACCCAACCAGAAGCCAAAGGGCACUGGAGCCUGUCAGUGCUGCCCCUUCUGGUCAACUUCUGGACACAGGGUAGGGUUGAGGGGAAGGAGAGCAGGUCUGAAGGGCACAGAGGAGGUGUCCUAU
This 946-nucleotide long non-coding RNA is filed under the name Marmota monax (woodchuck). The record is from RNAcentral. Lineage: Eukaryota; Metazoa; Chordata; Mammalia; Rodentia; Sciuridae.